UAGUAACGCGUGGGAACGUACCCUUCACUACGGAAUAGUCCCGGGAAACUGGGUUUAAUACCGUAUACGCCCUUCGGGGGAAAGAAUUUCGGUGAGGGAUCGGCCCGCGUUAGAUUAGUUAGUUGGUGGGGUAAUGGCCUACCAAGACUACGAUCUAUAGCUGGUUUGAGAGGAUGAUCAGCAACACUGGGACUGAGACACGGCCCAGACUCCUACGGGAGGCAGCAGUGGGGAAUCUUAGACAAUGGGGGCAACCCUGAUCUAGCGAUGCCGCGUGAGUGAUGAAGGCCUUAGGGUCGUAAAGCUCUUUCGCCUGUGAUGAUAAUGACAGUAGCAGGUAAAGAAACCCCGGCUAACUCCGUGCCAGCAGCCGCGGUAAUACGGAGGGGGUUAGCGUUGUUCGGAAUUACUGGGCGUAAAGCGCACGUAGGCGGAUUAGUCAGUCAGAGGUGAAAUCCCAGGGCUCAACCCUGGAACUGCCUUUGAUACUGCUAGUCUUGAGUUCGAGAGAGGUAAGUGGAAUUCCGAGUGUAGAGGUGAAAUUCGUAGAUAUUCGGAGGAACACCAGUGGCGAAGGCGGCUUACUGGCUCGAUACUGACGCUGAGGUGCGAAAGUGUGGGGAGCAAACAGGAUUAGAUACCCUGGUAGUCCACACCGUAAACGAUGAAUGCCAGUCGUCGGGUAGCAUGCUAUUCGGUGACACACCUAACGGAUUAAGCAUUCCGCCUGGGGAGUACGGUCGCAAGAUUAAAACUCAAAGGAAUUGACGG
This 771-nucleotide ribosomal RNA is filed under the name Celeribacter sp. Its description in RNAcentral is "bacterial SSU rRNA". It matches the Rfam family "Bacterial small subunit ribosomal RNA", at positions 108 to 916 of the family's 1533-position model. Lineage: Bacteria; Pseudomonadati; Pseudomonadota; Alphaproteobacteria; Rhodobacterales; Roseobacteraceae. The record is from RNAcentral.